GUGAGGAAUAUUGGACAAUGGAUGGAAAUCUGAUCCAGCCAUGCCGCGUGCAGGAAGACGGCCCUAUGGGUUGUAAACUGCUUUUGUAUGGGAGCAAUAAGGGUUACGAGUAGCCUGAUGAGAGUACCAUACGAAUAAGGACCGGCUAACUCCGUGCCAGCAGCCGCGGUAAUACGGAGGGUCCGAGCGUUAUCCGGAUUUAUUGGGUUUAAAGGGUGCGUAGGCGGUUUUAUAAGUCAGCGGUGAAGUUUUCCGGCGCAACCGGGGGACUGCCGUUGAUACUGUAAGGCUAGGGUAUGGUUGCUGUGGGUGGAAUGUGUGGUGUAGCGGUGAAAUGCUUAGAGAUCACACAGAAUAGCGAUUGCGAAGGCAGCUCACAAAGCCAUCAUUGACGCUGAGGCACGAAAGUGUGGGGAUCAAACAGGAUUAGAAACCCUUGUAGUCC
This 445-nucleotide ribosomal RNA is filed under the name uncultured bacterium. Its description in RNAcentral is "partial 16S ribosomal RNA". It matches the Rfam family "Bacterial small subunit ribosomal RNA", at positions 354 to 796 of the family's 1533-position model. The record is from RNAcentral.